Molecule: non-coding RNA, 30 nt
Filed under: Mus musculus (house mouse)
Lineage: Eukaryota; Metazoa; Chordata; Mammalia; Rodentia; Muridae
Source: RNAcentral
UAACAAACAAACUUAGCUGGUAAAUAUUCU